RNAcentral lists this long non-coding RNA (1040 nucleotides) under Salvia miltiorrhiza (redroot sage). RNAcentral's name for it is "long non-coding RNA (SMIL_LNC014034)". The record is from RNAcentral. Lineage: Eukaryota; Viridiplantae; Streptophyta; Magnoliopsida; Lamiales; Lamiaceae.
UUUUUUAAUCCAUGUCAUCCAUACUUUCCCCCACUCUCUCUAGAUUUCCUCUCCCCCUGUCUCUACCGUCUUUUUUAUAUCCAAUUUCCGGCAAGUCUUCCAUCAAGGUUUGACACUCAAGCUCAUACAAGUUCAUUUUAUUGUCUCCUUUCAGCAUAAGCUUAAUGUCUAUCAUUGCAUCUCAUUUUGAAAAUUCCAACUACACCAAACAAAGAAAAACACAUAUCAUACAUUCAUCUAUGAACUUUGUAAUUGCUUAUGCAAUAAGCUGCUAAUGAUUUACAAAUGAGAACAAAUAUAAAAUCGUGUCAGAUGCAACGACAACGGUGGCGGCGAUUCUUCGUCGUCGGUCCGUCUGAGUGAGGGCAGAGACGAAGUCGGCAGUGACUUGGGUUGCCGUUCGAUUGAAAGAAGGGAAGAGGGAGACUGAGGACCUAAGGCUCGGUGGUGGCAGCUUUUCGGCCGUGCGUUCACCGAAAAUUGAAGGGGGAUAGGAAGUGGGGUCUGGAAUUGGGGCUUAGGGUUUGGGCGGCGGCAGAGCCGCCAUUCCGACCAGAGCGGGGAGAGGAGAUGGAAGGAUAGAGUGGGAGGCGACGGUCACGGCCUUGCUGCGGUCGUCGGAGACGAGGGAGACGGCGGCAGUACUAUCCGCCAGUGAACAGAGUGAGACAGCGGUGGGGGUACGUGCGUGUUCUGUGAAGGACAGAGAGAGAGAAGGAGAGGGCGAGAGGAGACGACACCGUUGUCGUGGCAUCUGCAGUGGGGGUGGUCGCGGCUUCGCCGGCGGCUGGUGCUGCAGCACUAGAGGGAGGCGACGGCGGUUGGUGAGGAGUAUGUGUUUCUCAUAGAGAGAGAGAGAGAUACAGUAGAGAGAGGGAGACGGUAGAGAUAGGGGAGUGGAAAUGUAGAGAGAGAGAUGAAAAGUAUGGAUGACAUGUAUUAAUAUAAAAUGAUAUGGAUUAAAAAAUAUAUAGAAUUUAAAUUACACCGUGUCAUCCGAUGAGCCACGUCAUAUUUCUGGUGAUCGGAAAAUAAAUGCG